UACAGGGGGUGCAAACGUUGCUCGGAAUUAUUGGGCGUAAAGCGCGCGUAGGCGGCUACUUAAGUCGGAUGUGAAAGCCUUUGGCUCAACUGAGGAAGUGCACCCGAAACUGAGUGGCUAGAGUACGAAAGAGGGUCGCGGAAUUCCCGGUGUAGAGGUGAAAUUCGUAGAUAUCGGGAGGAACACCGGUGGCGAAGGCGGCGACCUGGGUCGAUACUGACGCUGAUGCGCGAAAGCGUGGGGAGCAAACAGG
This 253-nucleotide ribosomal RNA is filed under the name uncultured bacterium. Its description in RNAcentral is "partial 16S ribosomal RNA". It matches the Rfam family "Bacterial small subunit ribosomal RNA", at positions 524 to 776 of the family's 1533-position model. The record is from RNAcentral.